UCCUAAGCGGCCUCCACAAGCUCUGGGCGCAGGGCCUGACACGAGGCUCCAUUUCACAAACCGUGAGAUCACGAGCUAAGCCGAAACCAACAGUCAGAUGCUUAACCGACUGAGCCACCCAGGAGCCCCUUAACUGCUGUUUUCCGUCAACCUUAUUACCAUUUUGUGUUUAGGAGUCUGUGAAAGAAUAGCUUAAGACAAUGCAGUGGCUGUUCCUACCCGGCAGGGUCUGCAGGGUCAUCUCAGUCGCCUGCUCAGGGCUCCAAUUGUCCUCAAAGAACUGCUGAAUAGGCCCAGAGGGCACUGCACGCCUUCAGGUGAAUCUGCAACCUCGGACUGAGUAGCAGUAAAUUCGGGAGCUGGAGCAGUUCAGUCACCCUAAAAUUCCUCCUUGGUCACAGUCUUUUCAGCAGUGGUCUGCUCUUCCUUUUCUACCUUUUCAGGAUCUUCUCCGUAGAAGGAGAGCUGGAGCCUGAGCUCCCGCAAGUGUUCACGGGAGAUGGCGCUGUACAUGCGCAGAAACUCCGGGACCAGCAUGCACCACAUCAGUCCCACUAAAUGAGCUUUUCCUCUCUCCUUGUCUCUCUCUCUCUCUCUCUCUCUCUCUCUCUCUCUCUCUCUCUCUCUCUCUGUCUUUUUUCUCUCUUUUUUUUCUCUUUUUUUUUUUUUUUUCUUGCAAGAGACAGCAAUGCCUGCAUAGUGCCAAGAAGAGUCUGGGUUACACAGAGCAAAGAAGUCAACCCACCUAACUGGAUUCCUGCUGCAAGGAAUUUGAGGACACCCUCCUCCUUCAUUUGCAGAACAUCAAGGGCUCCAGGGAGGGUGACGUUUCCCCUUCAACUUACAAUGGGAAUCCAGAACAAUGCCAUAUGGACUCCUUUCUGGUGAACGUUGAGUGAGCUUGGCUUCAAAGCAAGCAUGAUGAACAAGAAACAUGGCUAGUGGACAAGAGGAGGAAACGAGGACCAUACGAGAGAGCUUAGAGGAAAGAACAUGAGGGCAAAGUGGCUGUCUGCAAGUCAGGAAGAGACCUCUCAACAGAAACUGACUCUGCUAGAACUUAAUUUGGAACAUCUAUGCUCCAGAAUUGUUGAGAAAAUAAAUUCCUGUUGUUGAAGCCACUCAGUCUACAGUAUUUUGUUAUGGCAGCCUGAGCCACACCAAGAUGUUCCCAAUAUGCCACUUUUAAGCAAAGGAUAUGAGUUGGAGAAAAACAGAAAAUCAUAUUUUAAUUGGGCUGUGAAGUUGGAUGCAGGCCUACAAGAACUCAUAGGAAAAAGCUGCUGCUGGAUUUCUGAACUUAAUCUGCCAAGAACUUCCGUGCAACACAUGCUCACUGCAGUUUUCAAGUGAUUGCCAGUUGCUGAACUCUUUGUACACGUUUGCAAUUCAUUGUGUUACCCCCUUACUGCUGUUUCUGGCAUCUGCUCUGACUGCUGGAUUUUCGGCACAGAGAAGCAUCAUAAAGGUUAUCUUCCCCAAGUCCAGUCAAUAUACAUUCAUGAAGCAGGAUAACCACAACAAAAAUAUGUGUUAAAAAAGAAAAAAUACAUGAAGAAACAGAAACUCUCUUCAUUACUGGGAAGAAUGCAAAGUAGGAAAGCCACUCUAGAAGACAGUUUGGCAGUUUCUUACAAAAGUAAGCAUACUCUUACCACAUGACCCAGCAAUCGUGAUCCUUGGUGUUUAUCCAAAUGAGCUGAAAACGUAUGUCCACAUAAAAACCUGCAUAUGAAUUAUUCAUAAUUGCCAAAACCUGGAAGCAACCAAAAUGACCUUCAAUAGGUGAAUGGCUAAACAGACUGGUGCAUCUAUAAAUGGAGUAUUAUCCAGGAAUUUUUUUAAAGGAGCCAUCAAGCCAUUAAAAGACAUGGAAAAAUCUUAAAUGCAGAUUGCUAAGUGAAAAAGAAGGCCAUUCUGAAAAUGCUACAUGCCAUAUGACAACUGUAUGACAUUCUGGAAAAGGCAAAACUGGUGACAGUAAAAAGAUUAGUUACCAGGGGCUAGGGCUGGGCCAGGGUGGGUGGAGGUUUGAAAAAGAAAGGAGGCAUGAAUAGGUGGAGCACAGGAAUUUUUAGGACAGUGAAAAAGAAACUAUUCUGUGUGAUAUUAAACUGGUGUCUGCAAGUCAUUAUAUAUUCGUCAAAACCCACUGAAUGUACAUUACAAAGAGUAAGCCCUAAUGCACACUAUGAAAUUUAGUUAAUAAUGUAUUAAUAUUGGCUCAUCAAUUAUAACAAAUGUACCACAGUAAUGGAAGAGGUUAAUAAUAGGUCAAACUGGGGUGAGGAAGGCUUUGGGAUGAAGGAACACAGAGGAAAUCUCUAUACUUUUAGCUCAAUUUUUUCUGUAAACCUAAAACUGCUCAAAAAAGAAGUCUAUUUUUCUUUCAAAGAGAAUACUAGGGAAUUCAGCAAUCAUAGUCCAUUAAAACAAUGCCCUCCUACUGAGCUGGCACUGUAUAAAACCUUGACCUGGUAAUAGAAGGAAUCCCCAGAUUAGUUAGGAUUCUGCUCUGUGGGAGAAUGUACGUGCGUUCCUUGAUCAUGAUGUUCAGAGGCUGCUGAAUUUGCCUUCUGAGAGAUUCCUUCUUCUCUGCCACCCUCCAUGGCACAUUUGAGAUGAACAUUGUGUGUAUGUCUUCCUUACAGAUCAGAAAGUCCAAAGCUUUCUCAGGUGAGGCUUAAGAUAUCCUUAGCAGUACAAGUGCCUCAAAAAUGAAGUAGGUUUUUGGUCUGUUUAUUUCCUGUCCCAUCCAAGUGUCAGUAGCCCAUACUCAAAAUAAUUUCUUAGAGAUAAUCCUUCAGCCUGUUUUUUUUAACUUCCUUGCAGGGUGUGUGUAUGUGUGUGUAUGUGCGUGUGUGUGUGUGUGUGUGUGUGUGUGUGUGUACACUUAAUGAUAGCUACCUUAAGGACAUCUAAAAUAAUUGGGUAAGGAGUGCCUGAGUGGCUCAGUUGGUUGAGCGUCCAACUUCAGCUUAGUUCAUGAUCUCAUGAUUUGUGAGUUUGAGCCCCACAUUGGGCUCACUGCUGUCAGUGCAGAGCCUGCUUUGGAUC
Molecule: long non-coding RNA, 3057 nt
Organism: Felis catus (domestic cat)
Lineage: Eukaryota; Metazoa; Chordata; Mammalia; Carnivora; Felidae
Exons: 7
Source: RefSeq, a predicted model, not a curated record